This 533-nucleotide long non-coding RNA is filed under the name Homo sapiens (human). Its description in RNAcentral is "non-protein coding lnc-NCKAP5L-1:1". Lineage: Eukaryota; Metazoa; Chordata; Mammalia; Primates; Hominidae. The record is from RNAcentral.
ACCUACUUAGUUUUCUCUGUUCUAGACGCCCUCAUUCCACCCCCGCUCGGCCCAGCCCGGCGUCCUCUACCCAGGCACGGCUGAGGUUUACCAAGCCCGGCCCGGCCUGGAGAAAGUGUUUCUAUAAGGGGGAAGGGAGGUCCUUCCCACCAAAGCGGAAGCGGCGCGCGCCGGCCGGGCAGACUUAGCUCGCGUCCUGGGAACAUCUGGAGGGGGCUGGGAGGGGCGCGCAUCCAGGCUGAACGUGGAUUGGCUGCUAGGGAGGAGGGAGGCGGGGUCAGGGCCAGGGGCGGGGCUCCCCGGCCCCUUUAAAGCCUUGACAUCAGGAGGCGGCUCCGGCACCCCCCUUUCUCUGCCCCCCGCCCCCAAGCCGCGGCCAUGGACCUGGCGGAUCCGGCCUGCCCUGGCCCAGCUCAACACCUGAUUUCGGCAAGGUGACCGUUCUGGAUGCUAGAGUGAGUGUGCCCACCUGCGUAAGGGGGCAGAGACAGGUGAGGGGCUUUGGGGCCUGUGCAUGCUGGGGGUGGGAGAGG